Molecule: ribosomal RNA, 497 nt
Filed under: uncultured bacterium
Lineage: Bacteria
Description: partial 16S ribosomal RNA
Rfam family: Bacterial small subunit ribosomal RNA
Source: RNAcentral
GAUGAACGCUGGCGGCGUGCCUAAUACAUGCAAGUCGAGCGAACAGACGAGGAGCUUGCUCCUCUGACGUUAGCGGCGGACGGGUGAGUAACACGUGGAUAACCUACCUAUAAGACUGGGAUAACUUCGAGAAACCGGAGCUAAUACCGGAUCAUAUAUUGAACCGCAUGGUUCAAUAGUGAAAGACGGUUUUGCUGUCACUUAUAGAUGGAUCCGCGCCGCAUUAGCUAGUUGGUAAGGUAACGGCUUACCAAGGCAACGAUCCGUAGCCGACCUGAGAGGGUGAUCGGCCACACUGGAACUGAGACACGGUCCAGACUCCUACGGGAGGCAGCAGUAGGGAAUAUUCAGCAAUGGGCGAAAGCCUGACGGAGCAACGCGGCGUGAGUGAUGAAGGUCUUCGGAUCGUAAAACUCUGUUAUUAGGGAAGAACAAAUGUGUAAGUAACUAUGCACGUCGUGACGGUACCGAAUCAGAAAGCCACGGCUAACUACGUG